UGGGGAAUCUUGCACAAUGGGGGCAACCCUGAUGCAGCGACGCCGCGUGAGCGAUGAAGCCCUUCGGGGCGUAAAGCUCUUUCGACCGGAACGAUAAUGACGGUACCGGGAGAAGAAGCUGCGGCUAACUACGUGCCAGCAGCCGCGGUAAUACGUAGGCAGCAAGCGUUGUUCGGAGUUACUGGGCGUACAGAGUGCGUAGGCGGUUUUCUAAGUUCGGUGUGAAAUCUCCCGGCUUAACUGGGAGGGUGCGCCGAAGACUGGGAAGCUGUAGUGUGGGAAAGGCAGGCGGAAUUCCUGGUGUAGCGGUGAAAUGCGUAGAUAUCAGGAGGAACACCGGCGGUGUAGACGGCUUGCUAGACCAUAACUGACGCUGAGGCACGAAAGCGUGGGUAGCAAACA
RNAcentral lists this ribosomal RNA (402 nucleotides) under uncultured bacterium. RNAcentral describes it as "bacterial SSU rRNA". It matches the Rfam family "Bacterial small subunit ribosomal RNA", at positions 355 to 774 of the family's 1533-position model. The record is from RNAcentral.